CCUUGAGAAGAAACGGCGGAGACCUGAGACCCGGAGGCUGAGGCUGUAGGUGGGCUCCGCUGGGUAAAAGUUGCCGCAGCAGCUGUCCCUUGGCCCCAUCGCGAUUUAUUUUUCCCCCUUGCUUUCCGGGUCCCGGGAUCCCAAGUUUGUAACUAACGGGAGCGAAUCCACACCCGAGCAAAAUGUUUGCGAGUUUCAGGCGCCCUUAGUUGAAAGGCUGUAAUUAACAAGUCCGCUGUUUGCCAGCCAGGCGCCGUUGCAGGCGCUUUCUGUGGAUUGUCAUUUAUUUCUCACAGCAACCCUAGGAGAGAUGAAAUUGAAUCAUGGAAGAAUGCCUUUAUCUGAGGAGUCAUCACCACUAGGGAGCUAUGGAGGCUGUUAUCCUUGACAUCUGCAGCAGCCCUUCCAAGCUGUGGAGACCAGGUCAUCUGGAAUGCCCAUUUAUGUCAAUGGAAGAAAGAAAAAGGGGUCUCCUCCCAUCCUCACCACUGCAUUCUCCCACCAACCCUGCUCCUGUCCCACUUCCCACAACUCAGUUGUUGACAAUUUAACAGUGGGUUUCUGGAAACAGUGCUGCCUCCUUGAUGGUCUAACUAACUACCAGAGUUAUUCUAACAGCAGGAAUUUCAAGCCAGGUAAGGGGAGCUAUGUCAGGCUGCCAGAUGGUGGGGAAGACAGGUGUGGGUGAGCUGGCUUCAGACUAAAGGAAGAGGAGAUCAAGUGUUGGAAUCACAUUUGAGAAAAGGAGUCAAGUGAACUUCAUUACCCAUUAUAGAGGCCUGUUAUAUCCUUUAGUGCUAUUUGGACUUGGAUUGAACCUGUGACAAAUCCUUUUCUUAUGCUUCUUCCAUCCCUGCUUCCAUGUUAUAUCCUUUCCCCUUCUAAAAUGG
This 890-nucleotide long non-coding RNA is filed under the name Homo sapiens (human). RNAcentral describes it as "HSALNT0120596". Lineage: Eukaryota; Metazoa; Chordata; Mammalia; Primates; Hominidae. The record is from RNAcentral.